This 500-nucleotide ribosomal RNA is filed under the name uncultured bacterium. RNAcentral's name for it is "partial 16S ribosomal RNA". It matches the Rfam family "Bacterial small subunit ribosomal RNA", at positions 30 to 523 of the family's 1533-position model. The record is from RNAcentral.
AUUGAACGCUGGCGGCAUGCCUUACACAUGCAAGUCGAACGGCAGCACGGGAGCAAUCCUGGUGGCGAGUGGCGAACGGGUGAGUAAUAUAUCGGAACGUGCCCAGUCGUGGGGGAUAACGCAGCGAAAGCUGUGCUAAUACCGCAUACGAUCUAUGGAUGAAAGCGGGGGAUCGCAAGACCUCGCGCGAUUGGAGCGGCCGAUAUCAGAUUAGCUAGUCGGUGAGGUAAAGGCUCACCAAGGCGACGAUCUGUAGCUGGUCUGAGAGGACGACCAGCCACACUGGAACUGAGACACGGUCCAGACUCCUACGGGAGGCAGCAGUGGGGAAUUUUGGACAAUGGGCGAAAGCCUGAUUCAGCAAUGCCGCGUGCAGGAUGAAGGCCUUCGGGUUGUAAACUGCUUUUGUACGGAACGAAACGGUGAGCUCUAAUACAGUUUGCUAAUGACGGUACCGUAAGAAUAAGCACCGGCUAACUACGUGCCAGCAGCCGCGGUAA